GAUGAAGAACGUAGCGAAAUGCGAUAAGUAAUGUGAAUUGCAGAAUUCAGUGAAUCAUCGAAUCUUUGAACGCACAUUGCGCCCGCCAGUAUUCUGGCGGGCAUGCCUGUUCGAGCGUCAUUGCUGCCCUCAAGCACGGCUUGUGUGUUGGGCCUCCGUCCUCCUCCCGGGGGACGGGCCCGAAAGGCAGCGGCGGCACCGCGUCCGGUCCUCGAGCGUAUGGGGCUUCGUCACCCGCUCUUGUAGGCCCGGCCGGCGCUUGCCGACACAUCAAUCUUUUUUCCAGGUUGACCUCGGAUCAGGUAGGGAUACCCGCUGAACUUAAGCAUAUCAAUAACGGAGGA
This 344-nucleotide unclassified non-coding RNA is filed under the name soil metagenome. RNAcentral describes it as "partial contains 5.8S ribosomal RNA, internal transcribed spacer 2, and large subunit ribosomal RNA". The stretch from base 1 to 120 matches the Rfam family "5.8S ribosomal RNA", at positions 35 to 154 of the family's 154-position model. The record is from RNAcentral.